Molecule: ribosomal RNA, 479 nt
Filed under: uncultured bacterium
Lineage: Bacteria
Description: partial 16S ribosomal RNA
Rfam family: Bacterial small subunit ribosomal RNA
Source: RNAcentral
GACGAACGCUGGCGGCGUGCUUAACACAUGCAAGUCGAACGGUAAGGCCCUUCGGGGGUACACGAGUGGCGAACGGGUGAGUAACACGUGGGUGAUCUGCCCUGCACUUCGGGAUAAGCCUGGGAAACUGGGUCUAAUACCGGAUAGGACCACUGCCUGCAUGGGUGGUGGUGGAAAGCUUUUGCGGUGUGGGAUGGGCCCGCGGCCUAUCCGCUUGUUGGUGGGGUGAUGGCCUCCCAAGGCGACGACGGGUAGCCGGCCGGAGAGGGUGACCGGCCACACUGGGACUGAGAUACGGCCCAGACUCCUACGUGAGGCAGCAGUGGGAAAUAUUGCACAAUGGGCGCAAGCCUGAUGCAGCGGCGCCGCGUGGGGGAUGACGGCCUUCGGGUUGUAAACCUCUUUCAGCACCGACGAAGCGCAAGUGACGGUAGGUGCAGAAGAAGGACCGGCCAACUACGUGCCAGCCGCCGCAGUAA